UCCUGGAGUUUUACUUGCUUCCAAAAAGGGAAGGCAAGUUUUCUGCUUCUGUGACAAUAAAGUGCAGGCAACUUCUUCCUGGAAUUUCAGCUCACUUUCAACAAAGAAGGAUUGCAGUAGAAACCAGUCGAGACGAAAGAUGCCAGAGUUCUUGGAAAAAUGAAGAGAAGAUUUGGACAUGACAUACACAGGGGGAAGCCCACAGGAAGAUGGCUGUCUGCAAUUCAGAAGAGCAGCCUCAGAGGAAACCAACCUGCCAACAUCUUUAUCUGUGACUUUCAGCCUCCAAAACUGUGAGAAAAUUAAUUUCUGUUGUUUAAGCAUCCAGAAUGUGAGACUUUGUUAUAGCAGCCCUAGCAAAUUAAUACAGGCAGCAAACAACCAGAUGUCCCACUUGAAAACUUCAUCCAAGAAAUAGAAAAAUAAAUGUUGUGGGAAUGAUGUUUGAUGGCAGGGUUUUAUUCUGCAGUUGCCUACAGGAAUGACAACAGAAAACUGUAAGACAGUGUAUUUCAAAGUGAGUUCUGCAGAAAACCAGUA
Symphalangus syndactylus (siamang) is the source of this 540-nucleotide long non-coding RNA. RefSeq lists it as uncharacterized. Lineage: Eukaryota; Metazoa; Chordata; Mammalia; Primates; Hylobatidae. The record is from RefSeq and is a predicted model, not a curated record.